RNAcentral lists this ribosomal RNA (407 nucleotides) under Shigella flexneri. RNAcentral describes it as "bacterial SSU rRNA". It matches the Rfam family "Bacterial small subunit ribosomal RNA", at positions 46 to 449 of the family's 1533-position model. Lineage: Bacteria; Pseudomonadati; Pseudomonadota; Gammaproteobacteria; Enterobacterales; Enterobacteriaceae. The record is from RNAcentral.
GCCUAACACAUGCAAGUCGAACGGUAACAGGAAGCAGCUUGCUGUUUCGCUGACGAGUGGCGGACGGGUGAGUAAUGUCUGGGAAACUGCCUGAUGGAGGGGGAUAACUACUGGAAACGGUAGCUAAUACCGCAUAACGUCGCAAGACCAAAGAGGGGGACCUUCGGGCCUCUUGCCAUCGGAUGUGCCCAGAUGGGAUUAGCUAGUAGGUGGGGUAACGGCUCACCUAGGCGACGAUCCCUAGCUGGUCUGAGAGGAUGACCAGCCACACUGGAACUGAGACACGGUCCAGACUCCUACGGGAGGCAGCAGUGGGGAAUAUUGCACAAUGGGCGCAAGCCUGAUGCAGCCAUGCCGCGUGUAUGAAGAAGGCCUUCGGGUUGUAAAGUACUUUCAGCGGGGAGGAA